GACGAACGCUGGCGGCGUGCUUAACACAUGCAAGUCGAACGGAAAGGCCCUGCUUUUGUGGGGUGCUCGAGUGGCGAACGGGUGAGUAACACGUGAGUAACCUGCCCUUGACUUUGGGAUAACUUCAGGAAACUGGGGCUAAUACCGGAUAGGAUCUCCUGCUGCAUGGUGGGGGUUGGAAAGUUUCGGCGUUUGGGGAUGGACUCGCGGCUUAUCAGCUUGUUGGUGGGGUAGUGGCUUACCAAGGCUUUGACGGGUAGCCGGCCUGAGAGGGUGACCGGCCACAUUGGGACUGAGAUACGGCGCAGACUCCUACGGGAGGCAGCAGUGGGGAAUAUUGCACAAUGGGCGGAAGCCUGAUGCAGCAACGCCGCGUGCGGGAUGACGGCCUUCGGGUUGUAAACCGCUUUCGCCUGUGACGAAGCGUGAGUGACGGUAAUGGGUAAAGAAGCACCGGCUAACUACGUG
RNAcentral lists this ribosomal RNA (468 nucleotides) under uncultured bacterium. RNAcentral's name for it is "partial 16S ribosomal RNA". It matches the Rfam family "Bacterial small subunit ribosomal RNA", at positions 28 to 507 of the family's 1533-position model. The record is from RNAcentral.